Manis pentadactyla (Chinese pangolin) is the source of this 1094-nucleotide long non-coding RNA. RefSeq lists it as uncharacterized. Lineage: Eukaryota; Metazoa; Chordata; Mammalia; Pholidota; Manidae. The record is from RefSeq and is a predicted model, not a curated record. The transcript is spliced from 4 exons.
GCUGCAAUUAUAAAUUUAAGUGUCACUAUUUAAUGGUCUUGCUCCCCAACCAACUCAAGGAGGGCAGAGAUCUCUUUUGCUCACUGUCACCUCCCAUGUCUGGCACAUUGUAGGUGACCAGUAGGUACUCAUGGAAUAAGUGGACAUGCUAAGUACACUGACUGCUUCCAUGGACCCAGCACAGUGCCCAGAUCCUCAGUGGAAUACCUCUUAUCUGAGGAUCUCAGAGCACUGGAAACCUUGGUUACUGUUUGCAGAGCGAGAGUUUGGCUGAACUAGAGUAUAGCUGCCGAAGGGAGUGGGCUCCCUUCUUCCUGUCCCAGACUCUUCAGGAAGCAAGCACAGUCCUGGCCUUCUAGAUUCAUCUCCAGAAGCUGAACGGAAGCUGAGGAGUGAGGCAAUUAUUUGGAGAAUUCAGCUCCACCACAGAAGCCAGAGCCAGCCUGCUGGAGACGUCACAUGGAAGAGAAUUGAGGUGCCCAUACCAACAGCCUCAGCCAAUUGCCAGUCACAUGAGUUAGUCCGUGGGAGGCCCCCAUCCCCCAGCCCUCAGCAGACUGCAAAUGCUGGCGUGAGCCCAGCUAAAACCACUGGGAGCCGAGAUGAGCCACCCCAGCUGAGCCUUGUCAUCCCAGAGAACUGUGAGCCAUUAAGUGGUUAUAGCUUGAAGCCACUGUUUUGCAGUGGUUUGUUAUGUAGCAGAAGAUAGUACAAUUAACAUUUUUACCACUGCCUGUGUGCCAGGAAUUAUGUUAAAUGUUUUACAUCUAUAAUCUAACUUAUUCCUCACAUCAACCACGUGAAGCAGUGUUACUACUCUACCAUCCAGUUACAGACGAGAGCACUGAGGCACGAGAAAGAAAAGUAACUUAAUGGAGAUAAAAGAACAGAUGAGUUGGGAGCUGGGAUCCGAGACCAGGCUAUCCGAGGGUCAGAGCCCAGGUAGCCGCUACACCACAGGGAACCAAACUGACGUGGCUCUUGCCCUCAUGGAGCUUUACAGUUUAGUGGGGAGACUGGAAUGAAACAAACACAGAAAUACUGAUAGACAACCACAGAUAUUGAUAAGUCUAUAAAGAGAAUGCAUGCUGUGU